RNAcentral lists this long non-coding RNA (1376 nucleotides) under Salvia miltiorrhiza (redroot sage). RNAcentral's name for it is "long non-coding RNA (SMIL_LNC008368)". The record is from RNAcentral. Lineage: Eukaryota; Viridiplantae; Streptophyta; Magnoliopsida; Lamiales; Lamiaceae.
AGAAUUUGCAAAUACUUGAGAUUUGAGAAACAGUUAGGCCAUGGUUCCAAUGGUUGCCCAAUAUGUGGAGGUUUAUGCUUCCAUUGCUAUUCCAAUUGGGUUGAAAACUCGUGUCUCCCAAUGAACCUGCAAAAUUCAUAGGCUCGUGUAUAUAUUAAUUGACAAAGACUCUCAAUAGUAUAUUAAGCAUAUAUAUAUACCAAGGGAGGAAUGAAAGGGUAUUUGAUAAUUUGAGAGGAUUAGAGGAAAAUCAAUGGUGACUAAAAAGACUCAUCUGAUAUAUUGAAACAUGUAAUGACAAUAGAAAUUUUAAACCCUAGACGAAGAAUUUACAAGAAUCGUGUCGGGGGCAUCAUCACAACAUUUUGCUUCUAAAUCACAUUAGGCGAGCACUUGCAAAGUUGCAAUAGGCAGAGAUUAUAUCCCUCUCCUCAAAAAAGAGAGCAUAAUAUAAGAGUCAACUCUUUUAUUCUUGAUGUUUCCAAACACCGUCUUACAAGUAAUUACUCCCUUCGUUUCAUAAUAAAUCUUUACUUUUUGAGAAGUUGAGGAUUCAACACAGAAUUGGAACAUUAUUCAACAAAAACAUACGAAACUGGAAAAUAUGGUGCAUCAACCAAAUCCGGCAAAUUAUGCUAGUAAUAAAUUGAGCAUAAAUGUCGAAUAAAAAUUAGAUUAUAAUGUUAAACACUUGGUUCCUAUCUUUAUAUAUGCAUUGAUCACCAUCCAACUCAUUCUAUCUUGGAUACAUGUUGGAGAGAGGCUUUCUUUAUUACAAGGACUUGAGAUGAGAAACGAAGUUGAGCAUAUAUGUAGAGCAUUGAGCUGCUAUGGCGAAGUGGAGUGAAAGGUCUUAGAAAGCCAUCGAGUGAAAAUCCAUCGAUCCAGACGCAACCUCGAUUUCCUUCUCUUCAUCUGCUGCUUCUGCUCGUCAUUCGGAGUCACAGGCGAAGCACGUGUGGUGGAGCUACUCGGAAGCACCUCAGCAGCAACAGUGUGGCUACUGAUCAAAGGCGAAACGCGGCUUCUCACAGUCUUAGGAGAAGCUGAAGCAGGGCUGCCGCUGGUCCCCGAGGCGGUGGAGCCGCCGCUGGGAGUCCUCGAGUGGUCGUGAAACAAUUGCCAAGUUCUUGUUUUCGCACCGCAGCUCUCACCAGCCUCUCCCAAUCAUCAUACACUUUAGGCAUCCUUUUUACAUUCUCUAUACUAAUCACUUCUUCCUCACUACCAUCAUCAUCAUAUAUAGAUGUAAAUAGGUGGUGGGAUCACCCUUGACUUUUGUUUCCUUCGAAAUUUCGAUGCAGCUGCAAGCUGGCGAGAGCAUUACCGACACAGCGCAAAAUUAAAUUUCUUUUUUCUUAUUCAUAGGCUUCAAA